CAGGGAGGAGAUUAGGUACUGAGAAGAUGACUCUGGAGCAGCUUUGAUAGCUCUGCCACGUUGCUAGCUCACUCAGACUGUACCCACCUUGCCACUGGUGGAUGAAGAUGGAAGCUCAUCGAUGAUGAAACUUCCUCUAGAAAUGAUAAACCUGAAAUAAAUGCUUUCCUUCCAUAAACUGCAUCUGCUUGGGGGUUUUGUCCCAGCAACAAGAAGGUGAAUGUGGAGAAGAAACCUUGGGAACACUUGACUUGGCAGCAGUGUCUGUGCUGUUUUCUGAUGCUCCCUGGAGUCAGUCCAGACAUCACGGCUGCUUUGGUGUGGUACCUACGCCGCCAUCUUAACUGGAAGUUCUGUUUCUUGCUCUUUAAGGGAAUUAGGAAUUGCUUUAUUAUGCACCACAUCCUCUGAACUUUUCCGCUGGAAGAUUUACAUUUCACUGGAACAAAUAAGGAGCCAUUUACAAAGAUAGGAUGGAAGCUGUGGAUCACCAAAGCCAUUGCCUUGAGAGCAAUAUAAAUGAAUGAAGAAGCUAUGUAUGGAAUUACCAUGAGACUGUUAGCUGAGUUCAUCCUACACAUUCUUUGCGAAAACAAAAGCAGAGGGGUCAGUCCUUUGGGAAUGGCAACAUACUAAUUCAA
Jaculus jaculus (lesser Egyptian jerboa) is the source of this 641-nucleotide long non-coding RNA. RefSeq lists it as uncharacterized. The transcript is spliced from 6 exons. NCBI's taxonomy places the organism in Eukaryota, Metazoa, Chordata, Mammalia, Rodentia, Dipodidae. The record is from RefSeq and is a predicted model, not a curated record.